Molecule: microRNA precursor, 118 nt
Filed under: Podarcis lilfordi (Lilford's wall lizard)
Lineage: Eukaryota; Metazoa; Chordata; Lepidosauria; Squamata; Lacertidae
Source: RNAcentral
UGUCCAGUAGCACCUUAGAGACCAACUAUGUUUGUUCUGGGUAUAAGCUUUCGUGCGCAUGCACACAAAAGCUUAUACCCAGAACAAACUUAGUUGGUCUCUAAGGUGCUACUGGACA